RNAcentral lists this ribosomal RNA (188 nucleotides) under Chrysocyon brachyurus (maned wolf). RNAcentral's name for it is "partial 12S ribosomal RNA". Lineage: Eukaryota; Metazoa; Chordata; Mammalia; Carnivora; Canidae. The record is from RNAcentral.
GCUUAAAACUCAAAGGACUUGGCGGUGCUUUAUACCCCUCUAGAGGAGCCUGUUCUAUAAUCGAUAAACCCCGAUAAACCUCACCACCUUUUGCUAAUCCAGUCUAUAUACCGCCAUCUUCAGCAAACCCUUAAAAGGCAGAAUAGAAAGCACAAUCAUUUUAUAUAAAAAAGUUAGGUCAAGGUGUA